GGAAGCGUGCCUGAAAGCUAAGGACCUCCUUGAUAGGGAGGACUAUA
Molecule: transfer RNA, 47 nt
Filed under: Rhinella poeppigii (gray toad)
Lineage: Eukaryota; Metazoa; Chordata; Amphibia; Anura; Bufonidae
Description: partial tRNA-Ile
Source: RNAcentral